Molecule: ribosomal RNA, 253 nt
Filed under: uncultured bacterium
Lineage: Bacteria
Description: partial 16S ribosomal RNA
Rfam family: Bacterial small subunit ribosomal RNA
Source: RNAcentral
GACGUAGGGCGCGAGCGUUGUCCGGAUUUAUUGGGCGUAAAGAGCUCGUAGGCGGCUUGUCGCGUUGUUCGUGAAAACUCACAGCUCAACUGUGGGCGUGCGGGCGAUACGGGCAGACUAGAGUACUGCAGGGGAGACUGGAAUUCCUGGUGUAGCGGUGGAAUGCGCAGAUAUCAGGAGGAACACCGGUGGCGAAGGCGGGUCUCUGGGCCGAUACUGACGCUGAGGAGCGAAAGCGUGGGGAGCGAACAGG